Gossypium arboreum is the source of this 144-nucleotide microRNA precursor. It matches the Rfam family "MIR7502 microRNA precursor family". The record is from Rfam. NCBI's taxonomy places the organism in Eukaryota, Viridiplantae, Streptophyta, Magnoliopsida, Malvales, Malvaceae.
AGUUAAAAUUUUCAUCCAUUUCUACGAUUAAAAACUGGUGUGACUGAUGGAAUAACCGGAUAGUUAUACAUGACAUGCCACGUGUACCUUAUAUCAAUGUACAACAACUAAUUUUAAUAGUAGAAAUAGAUGACAUUUUUAACA